Molecule: ribosomal RNA, 369 nt
Filed under: uncultured organism
Description: bacterial SSU rRNA
Rfam family: Bacterial small subunit ribosomal RNA
Source: RNAcentral
CGAAGGAUGCAAGCAUUAUCCGGAUUCAUUGGGUUUAAAGGGUGCGUAGGCGGACUGAUAAGUCAGUGGUGAAAUCUCUCAGCUUAACUGAGAAACUGCCAUUGAUACUGUUAGUCUAGAGUAUAGAUGACGUUGGCGGAAUAUGACAUGUAGUGGUGAAAUACUUAGAUAUGUCAUAGAACACCGAUUGCGAAGGCAGCUAACGAAACUAUAACUGACGCUGAGGCACGAAAGUGCGGGGAUCAAACAGGAUUAGAUACCCUGGUAGUCCGCACCGUAAACGAUGAUUACUCGUUGUUGGCGAUAUGACAGUCAGCGACCAAGCGAAAGCGAUAAGUAAUCCACCUGGGGAGUACGCCGGCAACGGUG